Molecule: ribosomal RNA, 1479 nt
Filed under: Streptococcus thermophilus
Lineage: Bacteria; Bacillati; Bacillota; Bacilli; Lactobacillales; Streptococcaceae
Description: bacterial SSU rRNA
Rfam family: Bacterial small subunit ribosomal RNA
Source: RNAcentral
GGACGAACGCUGGCGGCGUGCCUAAUACAUGCAAGUAGAACGCUGAAGAGAGGAGCUUGCUCUUCUUGGAUGAGUUGCGAACGGGUGAGUAACGCGUAGGUAACCUGCCUUGUAGCGGGGGAUAACUAUUGGAAACGAUAGCUAAUACCGCAUAACAAUGGAUGACACAUGUCAUUUAUUUGAAAGGGGCAAUUGCUCCACUACAAGAUGGACCUGCGUUGUAUUAGCUAGUAGGUGAGGUAAUGGCUCACCUAGGCGACGAUACAUAGCCGACCUGAGAGGGUGAUCGGCCACACUGGGACUGAGACACGGCCCAGACUCCUACGGGAGGCAGCAGUAGGGAAUCUUCGGCAAUGGGGGCAACCCUGACCGAGCAACGCCGCGUGAGUGAAGAAGGUUUUCGGAUCGUAAAGCUCUGUUGUAAGUCAAGAACGGGUGUGAGAGUGGAAAGUUCACACUGUGACGGUAGCUUACCAGAAAGGGACGGCUAACUACGUGCCAGCAGCCGCGGUAAUACGUAGGUCCCGAGCGUUGUCCGGAUUUAUUGGGCGUAAAGCGAGCGCAGGCGGUUUGAUAAGUCUGAAGUUAAAGGCUGUGGCUCAACCAUAGUUCGCUUUGGAAACUGUCAAACUUGAGUGCAGAAGGGGAGAGUGGAAUUCCAUGUGUAGCGGUGAAAUGCGUAGAUAUAUGGAGGAACACCGGUGGCGAAAGCGGCUCUCUGGUCUGUAACUGACGCUGAGGCUCGAAAGCGUGGGGAGCGAACAGGAUUAGAUACCCUGGUAGUCCACGCCGUAAACGAUGAGUGCUAGGUGUUGGAUCCUUUCCGGGAUUCAGUGCCGCAGCUAACGCAUUAAGCACUCCGCCUGGGGAGUACGACCGCAAGGUUGAAACUCAAAGGAAUUGACGGGGGCCCGCACAAGCGGUGGAGCAUGUGGUUUAAUUCGAAGCAACGCGAAGAACCUUACCAGGUCUUGACAUCCCGAUGCUAUUUCUAGAGAUAGAAAGUUACUUCGGUACAUCGGUGACAGGUGGUGCAUGGUUGUCGUCAGCUCGUGUCGUGAGAUGUUGGGUUAAGUCCCGCAACGAGCGCAACCCCUAUUGUUAGUUGCCAUCAUUCAGUUGGGCACUCUAGCGAGACUGCCGGUAAUAAACCGGAGGAAGGUGGGGAUGACGUCAAAUCAUCAUGCCCCUUAUGACCUGGGCUACACACGUGCUACAAUGGUUGGUACAACGAGUUGCGAGUCGGUGACGGCGAGCUAAUCUCUUAAAGCCAAUCUCAGUUCGGAUUGUAGGCUGCAACUCGCCUACAUGAAGUCGGAAUCGCUAGUAAUCGCGGAUCAGCACGCCGCGGUGAAUACGUUCCCGGGCCUUGUACACACCGCCCGUCACACCACGAGAGUUUGUAACACCCGAAGUCGGUGAGGUAACCUUUUGGAGCCAGCCGCCUAAGGUGGGACAGAUGAUUGGGGUGAAGUCGUA